This is an RNA transcript of Dreissena polymorpha, 3406 nucleotides long. RefSeq lists it as uncharacterized. NCBI's taxonomy places the organism in Eukaryota, Metazoa, Mollusca, Bivalvia, Myida, Dreissenidae. The record is from RefSeq and is a predicted model, not a curated record. The transcript has 8 exons.
AGGAGACAGGCUGUACAUCACCAGCUACCAGAGCAAGCUCCUCACCCUGGCCAGGGAUGGCACACUCCUGGCUACAUACACAGACCCAGCACUAUGGGGCCCAUCUGGUCUACAUGUGACCCCUGCAGGCCAGGUGCUGGUCUGUGGAUGGCUGCCCUUCACUGUACUACAGGUGGGCUGGGAGGGAGAGAGUAAGCUGGCUAAUCUUGCUACUCAGGAGGAUGGACUGAGGUGGCCAGAGUCAGUCUGCUACAGCAGCACAACAUCAUCCAUCAUUGUGGGACAGCACAGGAACAACAACAUCCUGGUGUUCAGAGUGGAAUAGUGUGUACAUUCGCUGCUGAGUCAGGACAAGGAUGCUGAGGAUGUGGUGGACAAGGAUGACCUGAAUACACAGAAGCAAUUGCUGAGCACAGCGGAAGACUGUUUAAUGAAAGGCUCAGCGGUAUUAAUGUCCAGCAAUGUGCGGGGACGCGGCCUAUCCAUAUCCGUAUAUUACAUCAUUUUAGCUGUCACUAACAUGGGAGAUAACUGUAGAUCUGCACCAGCACAACUGCUAAGCACAGAAGACAAAGGAGUAGUGAAAGGCUCAGCCAAAUCAAAGUCCAGCGAUGUGAGGGUGACACAGCCUUUCAAGUCCUCGUAUUGCAACAUGAAGGACAUUUUAGCUGAAACUAACUAGGGAGAGAACUGUAGAUCUGCACCAGCACAGAGCACCAGCAUUGAUAUCGAGUUGGCCCAGCAACCACACCAGUCCUACCUGCAGAAGCCCCAGUCCAGAUUGACCCUCCCCCUCCAUUGACUUCUAACUCCUCCCCCUUGACCUCCUGCCUCAAAAAGUCAGCAUCGUUGAACAACUCUGUUCUGCAGGAAAUUCUUAGGGUGAUUCUGUUCUGACAAACGCAAUGCCCACGUCACGUUUUCCAAACAUAAGCCUGGGUAGUUUUGUUAAGCUAGAGUUCCGCGUGGGCCUGAAAGGGACGAGUGUUACAGACACGAAAAGUUAUAGCAGUAGUUAUGGUAACGCUAACAGUCAGUUGUUGCUGUUGGACAUCACAACAAAUAUCAUGAAGAAUAAAAAGUUCAAUCACUUGCUCCAAUCUUUAUGGGACAAACAGAAAUUGAACAGGAGAGAAUCAAGGAACAAUAAAAGCGUGAGCUUUCCUAGUGGCAUACGUCUGCUGUUGAUAGUUUGGACAACAGUAGGGUUACGGACUGCCCCAGAUUGUCCUCUCAGCGGCCAAAAUAUCAUAAUAGAACAGACUUUUGGCAAUGUUACUGACAAAAAAAGGCAAAAAUGACUUGGUUGUGAACACCAAGAGCGCGAUACAUCCAUGCUGACACAGAAAGGCGGUAAUAACUUGGUUUUGAAAACCCAGAGCACAAUACAUCCAUGCUGACACAGAAAGGAAGUAAUGACUUGGUUGUGAACACCCAGAGCACGAUACAUCCAUGCUGACACAGAAAAUAAGUAAUGACUUGGUUGUGAACACCCAGAGCAAGAUAUAUUCAUGCUGUUACAGAAAGGCAGUAAUGACUAUGCUGUGAACACCCAGAGCACAAUACAUCCAUGCUGACACAGAAAGGCAGUAAUGACUUGGUUGGGAACACCCAGAGCACAAUACAUCCAUGCUGACACAGAAAGGCAGUAAUGACUUGGCUGUGAACACAGAACACGAUACACCCAUGCUGACACAGAAAGGCAGUAAUGACUUGGCUGUGAACACAGAGCACAAUACAUCCAUGCUGAAACAGAAAGGCAGUCAUGACUAUGCUGUGAACACCCAGAGCACGAUAUAUCCAUGCUGACACAGAAAGGCAGUAAUGACUAUGCUGUGAACACCCAGAGCAAGAUAUAUCCAUGCUGACACAGAAAGGCAGUAAUGACUAUGCAGUGAACACCCAGAGCAAGAUAUAUCCAUGCUGACACAGAAAGGCAGUAAUGACUAUGCUGUGAACACCCAAAACACAAUACAUCCAUGCUGACACAGAAAGGCAGUAAUGACUUGGUUGUGAACACCAGGAGCAAGAUAUAUCCAUGCUGACACAGAAAGGCAGUAAUGACUUGGCUGUAAACACAGAACACAAUACACCCAUGCUGACACAGAAAGGCAGUAAUGACUUGGCUGUGAACACAGAACACAUUACACCCAUGCUGACACAGAAAGGCAGUAAUGACUUGGCUGUGAACACAGAGCUUAAUACAUCCAUGCUGACACAGAAAGGCAGUAAUGACUUGGCUGUAAACACAGAGCACAAUACAUCCAUGCUGACACAGAAAGGCAGUUAUGACUUGGUUGUGAACACAGAGCACAAUACAUCCUUGUUGACCCAGAAAGGCAGUAGUGACUUUGCUGUGAACUCAGAGCACGAUACAUCCAUGCUGACACAGAAAGGCAGUAAAGACUUGGUUGUAAACACCCAGAGCACAAUACAUCCAUGCUGACACAGACAGGCAGUAAAGACUUUGUUGUAAACACUAAGAGAUCCAUACAUCCAUGGGGUGUGCCACAGCCGCAAAUUACGCCCACUAUUGUGAACAAAGUUCUUAAAGUGAACACGUCUGGUUUUGUUAUGAGCACAUAGCACUCCAAGCCCAAAAGGCCUCGCAUUAAAUUGAUGCAAGAGAAGGCUUUGGAAAAUAACAGCAGUUUUGUUGUGUGGUCCAGUACGCCCUUCGACUUGCAACCUGAAGAAAGCAGAACUCAAACUCGUCUCUUAGCAAUAUCAGCAAGGCUAGCAUGUCAUCUCAGCUUCUUGAACUUCAGUGAACUUUACUAGCAAACAUGACUAACGUCAUUGAAGUGAAAGUCGAUGACAACCCCCUUCUUGCACAAAUACUACAAUUGCUUAAGAAAUUCAGCAUGGAGACGUCUUGCGUCAGACUACCAAGCCUCCUAUCAAUAUCUUCUUCCAUGUUGGCUAUAUCAACACUUCCAACAGCAGAGCCUUGGUGAGUUCGACUUCCGUCUCUGCAUCGAUGUCGCUUAGCAACAAUUGGAUGAUUGCGUCGACAAAUUAGGCCGGACAAGUUGCUCGAACUGAAACGAUCUGAUUCAACAGCCUGUUCCUACAGGAACCCAUGCAAUCAUAGAUCGGUACCUAGCUGAACAACAGGCUGUCUGGUCAGCUGGGCCCAGACGCCCAGUGACACUUCCUGGCCCAGGACCUUGGGGCAAAUGCUCAACUAGUCCUACCUGCAGGGUGGAGCCACUCUGAACCUGGGGCUCCAUACUUUCUUGGCCAGCGGCCAAGAUUACCUUGUCAAUGAGGGACACAUUCCUGGGAUGCCCUAAGGUCUUUCUAUCUGUUCACAGAGGUCUUAUACUCAUAAGUUCAAGCCCAGUGAGCGAUGUUCACAUUAUCAAACUCUGCAUCUCAAUAGUUAAGUCACCUUGCCGUUGCA